CUAUGAUACCACGUUCACUGUUUGCAGUUACAAGGAUAACAGCACAGCUACUGCAAUGAAAGUCGUGCUUCUCACGUGGCUCUCCCAUCAAGAAGGAGACAUCUUAGUCAGGAGAACUGCUGCCCAGAGGGGCCUUGAACAUGACUGAUGAUGCUGAGAAAAGUUUCUGAAAACCUCCCUGACCAAAUGAUGGGGA
This 196-nucleotide long non-coding RNA is filed under the name Otus sunia (Oriental scops-owl). Its description in RNAcentral is "lncRNA (ENSOSUG00000003651.1)". Lineage: Eukaryota; Metazoa; Chordata; Aves; Strigiformes; Strigidae. The record is from RNAcentral.